Molecule: ribosomal RNA, 230 nt
Filed under: uncultured bacterium
Lineage: Bacteria
Description: partial small subunit ribosomal RNA
Rfam family: Bacterial small subunit ribosomal RNA
Source: RNAcentral
AGAGCGAACGCUGGCGGCAGGCCUAACACAUGCAAGUCGAGCGCCCCGCAAGGGGAGCGGCAGACGGGAGAGUAACACGUGGGAACGUACCCUUCAGUUCGGAACAACCCAGGGAAACUUGGGCUAAUACCGGAUACGUCCGUAAGGAGAAAGAUUUAUCGCUGAAGGAUCGGCCCGCGUCUGAUUAGCUAGUUGGUGGGUAACGCUCACCAAGGCGACGAUCAGUAGCU